AUCUUCCAGGAUCAAGUCAUCCUCCCACCUCAGCCUCCUGAGUGGCUGGGACUGCAGCCUUGAUCUUCCGGGAUCAAGUCAUCCUCCCACCUCAGCCUCCUGAGUGGCUGGGACUGCAGCCUCGAUCUUCCGGGAUCAACUAAUCCUCCCAUCUCAGCCUCCUGAGUGGCUGAGACUACAGGCGCGUGCCACCAUGCCCAGCUAAUUUUUGUAUUUUCAUUUUUAGUAGACGCAGGGUUUCACCAUGCCGCCCAGGCUGGUCCCAAACUCCUGGGCUCAAGUGAUCUGCCUGCCUCUACCUCCCAAAGUGCCGGGAUUACAGGCGUAGGCCACCGCUCCUGGCAGGAGAGAAGUGUUUCUGAGUGGUUCCUGUUUAUCUCAUGGGGACCCUGACCGCUCAGUCCACACUGCCCUUGUCUACCCCAUGGCCUUGGGUGUGGUUGUGGCUGGUGGCUCUGAAGUCCUGCGCCUGGGCUCAGCCUCCAGCUGUCUGUCCCUGCGUGUGAGCCUGCAUUGGCUCUGCAGCCAUCCCUGUCCUCAGAGUGGUCGGAGGGUGUCCUGCCCGGCCUCUCGCUGCCCUGCCUGGCUGUGCUGGGCUGGUCCCUCAGUCAUUCUACCUGAAGUCACGUGGUGCCCAAUAUGUGCCAUUCUGAGGGGCCCCAUGGCCAUGUCCCAGAGGGAAGAGCAAACACCAUAGAGGAAAGUGCUCACAGCUGGAGGACAUGGGUGCCCGCCGGGGCUCAGCCCCAAGGGGGGCACAAGCUGAGAGUAGGCAGGGCCCAGGCUUCUGCCCCCAUCCGCUGGUGGGGAGGUUCUGUGGCUCAGAGGAGGUGGGUUUGGAGGACAGCUGGACUAGGUGGGUUCUGGCCCACUGGGGCACAGGAUUGGCCGCUG
This 894-nucleotide long non-coding RNA is filed under the name Homo sapiens (human). Its description in RNAcentral is "HSALNT0216872". The record is from RNAcentral. Lineage: Eukaryota; Metazoa; Chordata; Mammalia; Primates; Hominidae.